UACGUAGGGUGCAAGCGUUGUCCGGAAUUAUUGGGCGUAAAGAGCUCGUAGGCGGUCUGUUGCGUCGGCUGUGAAAACCCGGGGCUCAACCCCGGGCCUGCAGCCGAUACGGGCAGACUAGAGUUCGGCAGGGGAGACUGGAAUUCCUGGUGUAGCGGUGAAAUGCGCAGAUAUCAGGAGGAACACCGGUGGCGAAGGCGGGUCUCUGGGCUGACACUGACGCUGAGGCGCGAAAGCCAGGGGAGCGAACGGG
This 253-nucleotide ribosomal RNA is filed under the name uncultured bacterium. Its description in RNAcentral is "partial 16S ribosomal RNA". It matches the Rfam family "Bacterial small subunit ribosomal RNA", at positions 524 to 776 of the family's 1533-position model. The record is from RNAcentral.